GUUGAUCUUUUCUCUGUAUUGCCUUAAAUGAGAAUGUAGUUUAUUUUAUGAAACCUUCUCUGCAAGGAUUUCUUACAUUUCCCUGCUCUACUUUAUGGAACUCUCCAGGGAGUCAGGAAAGGGAAGGAUUUAUCUGCAGCCUCAAUUUUUCCCCCCCCACAAGAAUUAACCUGCAUAUCUAAUGGUUACCUCCCAGUUUGAUAAUCAGCAAAUACUACAGGAUGAAGAGGUGGUUAAUUCAACCAACACUUCCUGUUUCAGAGAGAUGAGAAUAAGGGGUGCAGUGAUGUUCUGAUUAGGAAAGAAACAGAAGGCAGUGGUGGCAAGAGAGAAGCAAAGGAAAGAAAACAUGCAAGGAAAGGAGACAGAACUGCAGAAGGUAGAAGUGUGGCUGACAGCCCUGGAAUCCCCCAGGACCACAGUCAGCAGCGAAGAGAAUUACCUUGCGGAAAAGACACAGCUGGCAGGAAAGAUGUCAACCACAGGAGAUCAGAAUACAGACAUGUUGAUAUGGUCUGAGGGGGAAAAAAGAGAAAAAUGGAAGUGAGCCCUCCCUCUAAGGUCACACAGAUCCUGCGGUCAGUAGAUCCCUGCUGAGACCCCCCCUUCCUAAUUGAUUGUCUUGCCCAGGAGGAAGCUAAAGACUCUCCAGGAGCUAAAGAAAUGGGAACUGCACUUUCCA
Molecule: long non-coding RNA, 682 nt
Organism: Passer domesticus (house sparrow)
Lineage: Eukaryota; Metazoa; Chordata; Aves; Passeriformes; Passeridae
Exons: 3
Source: RefSeq, a predicted model, not a curated record